Non-coding RNA from Macaca mulatta (Rhesus monkey), 941 nucleotides. Lineage: Eukaryota; Metazoa; Chordata; Mammalia; Primates; Cercopithecidae. The record is from RefSeq and is a predicted model, not a curated record.
UACCCUCGCGGCAGUGAUUGGUCCACGUGGGCACAUGACACGGCCGGGGCUGGACUCCCCGGAAAGAGCCUCUCCCUCCUUCCUGCUGGACUAGCCUGAGAAGACGCGAGGCAGUCGCUGCUGCAGUACUGGGCGGAGGGCCUGUCUGAGGUGGAGCCAACCUCGAGGAAACUGGGUCAACCAUGGACAAGGACACACGAGCUUUGUGACGUCAUGCAGAGCAGAGACCACCGGGGCCUGCUUGCUGCGCAGUGGAGCCCAUGUCUUCAAGGCCGGGCUAAUCUUCACUGGCCUCUGGGCUCCUUCCAGCUCCACUGACAGAAAGAAAGCAGAUUAGAUUACCGGGCCAGGCUGGAGGGCUGGGUGUGACAGGGCCCUUCAGAGAGCCUUGAGACAGAACCUCAGCAGACGGUGGCAGCUGAAGACCCUGGUCAGUUCCCAAAUUGACCAGACACCUCCCAUCAGUCCAUUCCUGCCUGUGGAUGGCCUCCCGAGAACCAACUUCCAAUCACAAGGAAUCUCAUCAAAUAACCAGGAAAGAUUAACUACUGGAGAAGAGAAGAGACUGGAAUCAUCACCAUGCCAGACAGACUUUUCAUCUGUUCUUCUGAGGACAGCUCCAAGAGAUUACCUGGGAGACUUUAUCUGCGAAAAAGACAACCUUUGUUCACAGUGUGGUUCUGCCCCUCACCCUCCUGCCACCUGCCCCAGAACUCAGAGGAACUUUGUCCCAGGCUAUUAUCUAUUCUUUGGGCUCACUCAUUUUCCUUAGAAAUCAUUUACUACCUCUCUAAAAUGUCCUACAGUCCGCCACUUCCCUGUCCCUUAUGUAGAGGGUAUAUAAGCCUCAACCAUCUGGCCCUUCUUUGAGUCUCCUAUUUGUAGGGCUUCCAUGGCCAUAUGCACCGUAAUAAAUGUGUAAGCCAUUUUUCUCCUAUGAA